AGCAGCAGCCACGGGAAUACGAAGGGGGCUAGCGUUGCUCGGAAUGACUGGGCGUAAAGGGCGCGUAGGCGGCGAUCAAAGUCAGGCGUGAAAUUCCUGGGCUCAACCUGGGGGCUGCGCUUGAUACUUGGUUGCUUGAGUGGGGAAGAGGGUCGUGGAAUUCCCAGUGUAGAGGUGAAAUUCGUAGAUAUUGGGAAGAACACCGGUGGCGAAGGCGGCUCACUGGACGACUGUUGACGCUGAGGUACGAAAGCGUGGGGAGCAAACAGGAUUAGAUACCCCUGUAGUCCCUGUCUCUUAUAC
This 303-nucleotide ribosomal RNA is filed under the name uncultured bacterium. RNAcentral describes it as "partial 16S ribosomal RNA". It matches the Rfam family "Bacterial small subunit ribosomal RNA", at positions 507 to 807 of the family's 1533-position model. The record is from RNAcentral.